CCCUUAGAUGUUCUGGGCCGCACGCGCGCUACACUGAUGCAUUCAACGAGUCUAAAACCUGCUCUGAUAGGGGUGGGUAAUCUUUUGAAUGUGCAUCGUGAUUGGGAUAGAUGAUUGCAAUUUUUCAUCUUCAACGAGGAAUGCCUAGUAAACGCAAGUCAUCAGCUUGCAUUGAUUACGUCCCUGCCCUUUGUACACACCGCCCGUCGCUCCCACCGAUUGAAUGAUCCGAUGAAUAUCAUGGAUUGAGGAUGCAAGUAGGUUAGCCUAUCUUCAUCUUCGAGAAGUGAAGUAAAUCUUAUCAUUUAGAGGAAGGAGAAGUCGUAACA
RNAcentral lists this ribosomal RNA (329 nucleotides) under uncultured eukaryote. Its description in RNAcentral is "partial 18S ribosomal RNA". It matches the Rfam family "Eukaryotic small subunit ribosomal RNA", at positions 1470 to 1796 of the family's 1831-position model. The record is from RNAcentral.